AAUUAUUAUUAUUAAUUUUUAAUUAGAAGUGAAAUGUUAAACGAUUUUAAAUAUAUCUAGUUUUUUUAGAAAUGAAUUAAAUCCAGAUUUUAAAUUUAAUUUUAUUUAAAAUUAAUUAAUUAAAUAAAAAAAAUUUAAAAUUAAAUAUAAUUGAUAUAAAUUGGUUAUAUUUAUUUUAUAAAUUUAAUUUAAUAAAUAAAAGUUUAUAAGUAAUUAUAAAAUUAUUUUCCUUUUUAAAAAAUGUUUUAAUUUAUAAUUAAAAAUUAAUAUAAAAUUUUAAUUAAAUUUUAAUUUUUUAUAAAAAAUUAUUUAUUAAUAUAUAAUAAAUAUUUAUAAUGAUUAUAUUAGUAAAAUUAUUUUUUUUUGUUAAAUAUUUUAAUAUGUUAAAUUAAAAAUAUUAAUUUAAGGAAUUAGGCAAAAAAUUUAAUUAUUAAUAAAUGAAUAAUUGAAAUUAUAUUUACCUGUUUAUCAAAAACAUGUCUUAUUGAAAUUAAAUAAUAAGUUUGUUCUGCCCAUUGAAAAUUAAAUUUAAAAGGCUGCAGUAUAUUAACUGUACAAAGGUAGCAAAAUCAAUAGUUUUUUAAUUGAAAACUGGAAUGAAAGAAUUGAUAAAAUAUAAACUGUCUCAAUUUAAAUUUAUUUGAAUUUAAAUAAAAAGUUAAAAUGCUUUUAUUUAUUUAUUAGACGAUAAGACCCUAAGAAUUUAAAAAUUUUAAUUUUAUUAAAUUAAUUUUAUAAUAUUAUAAAUUAAUAUUUUAAUAUUUUUUUAUUGGGAGGGUAAUUAAAUUUUAAAACUUUAAUUAAAUAAAAA
This 811-nucleotide ribosomal RNA is filed under the name Polistes riparius. Its description in RNAcentral is "partial 16S rRNA". Lineage: Eukaryota; Metazoa; Arthropoda; Insecta; Hymenoptera; Vespidae. The record is from RNAcentral.